Molecule: ribosomal RNA, 496 nt
Filed under: uncultured bacterium
Lineage: Bacteria
Description: partial 16S ribosomal RNA
Rfam family: Bacterial small subunit ribosomal RNA
Source: RNAcentral
AUGCACGCUGGCGGCGUGCCUAAUACAUGCAAGUCGUGCGAACAGACGAGGAGCUUGCUCCUCUGACGUUAGAGGCGGACGGGUGAGUAACACGUGGAUAACCUACCUAUAAGACUGGGAUAACUUCGGGAAACCGGAGCUAAUACCGGAUAAUAUAUUGAACCGCAUGGUUCAAUAGUGAAAGACGGUUUUGCUGUCACUUAUAGAUGGAUCCGCGCCGCAUUAGCUAGUUGGUAAGGUAACGGCUUACCAAGGCAACGAUGCGUAGCCGACCUGAGAGGGUGAUCGGCCACACUGGAACAGAGACACGGUCCAGGCUCCUACGGGACGCACCAGUAGGGAAUCUUCCGCAAUGGGCGAAAGCCUGACGGAGAAACGCCGCGUGAGUGAUGAAGGUCUUCGGAUCGUAAAACUCUGUUAUUAGGGAAGAACAAAUGUGUAAGUAACUAUGCACGUCUUGACGGUACCUAAUCAGAAAGCCACGGCUAACUACGUG